RNAcentral lists this ribosomal RNA (481 nucleotides) under uncultured bacterium. Its description in RNAcentral is "partial 16S ribosomal RNA". It matches the Rfam family "Bacterial small subunit ribosomal RNA", at positions 28 to 507 of the family's 1533-position model. The record is from RNAcentral.
GAUGAACGCUGGCGGCGCGCUUAACACAUGCAAGUCGAACGAAACACCUUAUUUGAUUUUCUUCGGAACUGAAGAUUUGGUGAUUGAGUGGCGGACGGGUGAGUAACGCGUGGGUAACCUGCCCUGUACAGGGGGAUAACAGUCAGAAAUGACUGCUAAUACCGCAUAAGACCACAGCACCGCAUGGUGCAGGGGUAAAAACUCCGGUGGUACAGGAUGGACCCGCGUCUGAUUAGCUGGUUGGUGAGGUAACGGCUCACCAAGGCGACGAUCAGUAGCCGGCUUGAGAGAGUGAACGGCCACAUUGGGACUGAGACACGGCCCAAACUCCUACGGGAGGCAGCAGUGGGGAAUAUUGCACAAUGGGGGAAACCCUGAUGCAGCGACGCCGCGUGAGUGAAGAAGUAUUUCGGUAUGUAAAGCUCUAUCAGCAGGGAAGAAAAUGACGGUACCUGACGAAGAAGCCCCGGCUAACUACGUG